UGGGCGUAAAGCGCACGCAGGCGGUUUGUUAAGUCAGAUGUGAAAUCCCCGCGCUUAACGUGGGAACUGCAUUUGAAACUGGCAAGCUAGAGUCUUGUAGAGGGGGGUAGAAUUCCAGGUGUAGCGGUGAAAUGCGUAGAGAUCUGGAGGAAUACCGGUGGCGAAGGCGGCCCCCUGGACAAAGACUGACGCUCAGGUGCGAAAGCGUGGGGAGCAAACAGGAUUAGAUACCCUGGUAGUCCACGCUGUAAACGAUGUCGACUUGGAGGUUGUGCCCUUGAGGCGUGGCUUCCGGAGCUAACGCGUUAAGUCGACCGCCUGGGGAGUACGGCCGCAAGGUUAAAACUCAAAUGAAUUGACGGGGGCCCGCACAAGCGGUGGAGCAUGUGGUUUAAUUCGAUGCAACGCGAAGAACCUUACCUACUCUUGACAUCCAGAGAAUUCGCUAGAGAUAG
This 455-nucleotide ribosomal RNA is filed under the name uncultured bacterium. Its description in RNAcentral is "bacterial SSU rRNA". It matches the Rfam family "Bacterial small subunit ribosomal RNA", at positions 555 to 1009 of the family's 1533-position model. The record is from RNAcentral.